RNAcentral lists this ribosomal RNA (253 nucleotides) under uncultured bacterium. RNAcentral's name for it is "partial 16S ribosomal RNA". It matches the Rfam family "Bacterial small subunit ribosomal RNA", at positions 524 to 776 of the family's 1533-position model. The record is from RNAcentral.
UACGAAGGGGGCUAGCGUUGUUCGGAAUUACUGGGCGUAAAGGGCGCGUAGGCUGUGCUGUAAGUCAGGCGUGAAAGCCCCGGGCUCAACCUGGGAAUUGCGCUUGAUACUGCGGCGCUGGAAGGUGGGAGAGGAUGGCGGAAUUCCCAGUGUAGAGGUGAAAUUCGUAGAUAUUGGGAAGAACACCGGUGGCGAAGGCGGCCAUCUGGCCCACAAUUGACGCUGAGGCGCGAAAGCGUGGGGAGCAAACAAG